UCCCGCUUCUGGCGGGCAGUUGCGUAUGACACGUAAAACAUACGCCGAGGGUUGCGCUCGUUGCGGGACUUAACCCAACAUCUCACGACACGAGCUGACGACAGCCAUGCAGCACCUGUGCUCGCUCCCUUGCGGGUCGCUUCCCUUUCGGGUCGCUACCACGAGCAUGUCAAACCCAGGUAAGGUUCUUCGCGUCGCAUCGAAUUAAACCACACGCUCCGCUGCUUGUGCGGGUCCCCGUCAAUUCCUUUGAGUUUUAGCCUUGCGGCCGUACUCCCCAGGCGGUGUGCUUAUCGCGUUGGCUGAGGCGCGCACGGUUUUACCCGCACACACCGAGCACACAUCGUUUACGGCGUGGACUAC
Molecule: unclassified non-coding RNA, 363 nt
Filed under: uncultured Anaerolineae bacterium
Lineage: Bacteria; Bacillati; Chloroflexota; Anaerolineae
Description: contains 16S-23S intergenic spacer region
Source: RNAcentral